GGAGAGGUGGGUGAGUGGCUGAAACCACCGCUUUGCUAAAGCGGCGUGCCCUUAACGGGGUACCGGGGGUUCGAAUCCCCCCCUCUCCG
Molecule: transfer RNA, 89 nt
Filed under: Rubrivirga marina
Lineage: Bacteria; Pseudomonadati; Rhodothermota; Rhodothermia; Rhodothermales; Rubricoccaceae
Rfam family: tRNA
About the family: Transfer RNA (tRNA) molecules are approximately 80 nucleotides in length.
Source: Rfam by way of RNAcentral